CCCCGCCCAGCCCGCGGCCCGCACUCGGCGCGCCUGGCCCCGCCCCCCGCGGGCUUAACCCUCUAGCCGCUGGGCACGCGCGGGCUACCGGGGCGGAGGCGUACGGGGGCGGCGAGCGGGGCUCGGCUCCUCCUCGUCCCGCGCCAGCGCCGCGCCCGGCCGCAUUCUCGGGGCCCGAGGCUCAGCCGCUCGCGGUGGAGAAAGCAGGCCGCGGAGGAGGCGGGCGCCCAGGCCUGCCCGGACAGGAAGUGGGCCCAGCUUUCCCACUCCUCGCUCCGCUCCUUCCUCCGCGGGAAGGGCAGGCCCCGGAGGCAGCGAGCGCCCCGGGGGUGGCCGGGCAGCCGGAUGCUCCCGGGGUUGCGGGCUGUGGCCCCGGGGGCUGAGGGCGGCGCGGGUGCGGCGGAAGCAGGGAAGCCGCGAACCGGCCUUCUGGCUGGCCACAGCGCCCUGCACGGACGAUCAGUGAAUGGAGAUUACUCAAGUAUUUAUCGAGAACUUGCAGUGGGCUAGGCACAGUUCAGGUAGAUCAACAAACCGAAAGACCCUGCCCUAGGGGAGCUUUCGCUCCAAUGCGGGGAGAGGGUGGAUGAUUGCAGUUUUGCCCAGUAAUUUUUGGGACCCUCAUGCCACCAUUAAUUAGCUACACACAUUUCACCGAAAGUCUACCUUACAUAUUAAUCAGAAGAAGUGGAAGAAUAAACACAGAAGAAGCAAAAAAGGAAGGAACUUUCUCACUGAAAGUUUCUAUUUAAUAUUAAGUCUUAAAAGUACUCCUGGAAGGACAAAAGGUGUUCUUAAUAAAUUAUAUUCGCAAAUAUUGGAUUUAAUCCUACCAGUAAUGAAGCAGUCAGUUACUUUCUAGAUGUGCAGAAAUACGUAAUGAACAAAAAAAACUAAUUCCUAUUCCAUUUUUUAUUAGGUCCACAGUUAUUUCACUUCUAAAUAAAUAUGGUUUUUUAAAAGUGGCACGCGGUGGAAUGUAAUUGAGACAGGAUGGAGUUCCUAGAGAAAUUUUACUUCCUCAAUCUGCACUCCACCUUACUUAAAAUACAGUCUUGGGUCUGUAAUUCCCUUAUCUGACUCUCAAGGAAAUGACAAAGUAAUGCCUAGAUUGGACUAAACCUCAUUUAACUUCAAGGCUGACCUUUCUCAAAGUUGAACCUUCGUCUUGUGAGGAACAGAAAGAUCAAGAACUCUGAAGCACCUCGACUUUCCACCUGUGAAGAUGUGUUCAAAUUUGCAACGUGCGGCCACACCUAUGAGGUCACUCCCUCUGGAGGAAACCAGCUGCCACUUUGUGAGGAUACUCAUAGUCCUGUGGAGGCAUAUCCUCCAUAUGGCUGAGACCUCCUGCGAACAACCAUCACUGACUUGCCAGACAUGAGUGUGCCACCUUGGAAGCAGAUUUUCCAGCCCCAGUUAAGCCUUCAGAUGACAUCAGCCCCUGCUAAUCUCUUGACUACAACCUCAUGAGAGACCCUGAGCCAGAACUAGCCAGGAUCUCGCUUUGUCACCCAAGUUGGAGUACAGUGAUACAGUCUUGGCUCACUGCAGCCUUAACCUGCUAGGCUCAAGUGAUUCUCCUGCCUCGGCCUCCCGAGUAGCCGGGACUACAGGACCAGCUUGAAGUGUUUCAGGACACUUCUCUCUGUGUGUGCCUCUUGAUUUUGUUCAGAAGCCCAGUACUAUGGAAUACUCUAUCGCAGUGAUAAUUAACUACUCGAUAUGCAAAACACAGACAAAUCUCACAAACAUAAUGUGGAGCAAAAGAAGCCAGAAACAGAAGAGUACUGUGAAAUCCCAUUUAUGUCAAGCUCAAAACCAGGCAAGACCAAUCUGUGAUGUUAGAAGUCAGGAUAGUGGUCCCUUUGUUGGUGGUUGUGGCUGGGAGGGGCUAGAGGGCUCCAGGAGUGCUGGUAAUGCACUAAUUCUUUGUCUGGGUGCUGUUUACACAAUGUGGACAUACUGGGCUGUCCAUUUAUGAUCUGUGCACAUUUCUGUACGUAUGCUGUAUUUCAAUCAAAAGUCUCAAAAAAAAAAAAAAAAAAGAGAGAGAAAGAGAGAAACCAGAAUGUAAUCUUGUGAAAUAAGUAGUCACAGGAAGUAUGAACUAUGUGCCAACCAAAAUAAGCCUCUGAGGAUUGGUGAGGCUGGAGAACAGUAUCAUAGGGCUAAGAGUCAGAGAACCUGAUUUCCAGUCCCACUUCUGUUAUUCACUGGCAAAAGGAUGCUGGAAACUUAGCUCCCCUCAACUCAUAACAGCCAGUGAUUAAAUGAAGGCCUUCAGGAAAAUCUAAAGAUGUUCCCCAUUCCAUGCCUUGCCAGGAAAGGUUAAGGAUCCCAGCUGAAGACCAAACACGAAGAAACUUGGAUGACUAGUAACAAUCUCAUGUUUGUAUAAUGCUUCCCACUCCCAAAGCACUUUCAUAAUCAUUAUGCCAUUUGAUUUUUCAUAAUAAGAUCAGGAACGCAGGCUCUAGGGCCAGACUGGCUGGGUUGGAAUCCUAGCUCCAUCUGUUGCUAGCUGCUUGACCUUGGGCACAUCGUCCCUCUGCCUCAGUUUCCUUAUCUGCAAAACAGGGACAUGAGGGGAUUCAAUGAAUUUAACAUGAAAAACAUUUACAAUGAUGCCUACCACAAAGUUAUCAUUUGAUAAAUGUUAGUUAAAACAGGAACAAAAGUCCAGAUAGUGUUAUCUAGAUUUUAUAGCUGAAGAAACUGAGGCUCACAGGUUAUCACAAGACUAAUUCACAGCAGAUCCAGAACUGAAACCCAGGCCUUCUGGGUUACAACACUGACUUGUUAGGUUAUCUGGAAUAAUCUAAAUGGACUUGUCUAUUUUUAUGUGAUAAUAAUAAUAACAAUAAUAACAAUAACACUACCUUUUACUGAGUACUCACUAAGUGUUUUACAUACUAUGUCUCAUUUAAUCCUCAUAAGAAUCUAUGAGGCACGUGUUGUUAUCCCCAUUUUAAAAAGGGACAAACUGAGGACUAAACAUUGAGAAAGCAAACCUGGAUCACCCAGCUAGUGACAGGGAAGGCCAGAUUCUGAAUGCAGGUCUCUGCAAACCCAGGACCUGCGUUUUCAACCACUUACAUUCCAUAACCUCUGGAUAGAAAAAGACCACCAUGGUUACUGCUUUAUAAACAUUUGGGGGUUUCUGGGACAAAUUGGGUGAUUUUUGUAAGUUCCCCAAGGUCAGAAAGAGCCCUUCUUAUCCAUCUUUCAUCCUUCUCCUGUGCAUCAGGUACUGGACCUCCAUAGGUGUCCCAGAGGCUCCCAUGGAAGGAUUUGCAAAUCAGGUUCCAAGAGCUUAAAAAGCCAGGCUUAGUAGUGGAGAGGCACCAGAUGAACUCUUGAUAGCCCAGGCAAGAACUGGGCACCAGCAGCAUUACUUGAUGGUGUCAAAGAGGUAGAGGACCAAAUGCCAGGAUGCAGAGGGAGCCAUGGUGCCUGGACACAGAGACUUUGCCACAGCUAUCAAGUUUGCAAAAUGAAAACAAAGGGAGAGAUUAAUGAGACUCCACCUAGAAGCAGCCACUCCUGGACAGGCUGCCCUUCCUAGAUGGCUUCAGAUGGCUGCCAGGGAACAUCUGCCUGGUUAAGAUUUCAAGUGAAGACCUAAUCGAAGCAGCCCUUUGGCAGGCUUUGCACUGGCCGGCCUGACUCUGACAUACGCUCCGAUGCCCACACAUGGUUGUGGCUGGCAGCUCAGACAGACACGACUGUUUUGGCUUCUGUCAUUUCUUUUUCUUCCUCCAGGCGCUCAAGUUCUUGAUCCCAGCUCGCCUGAUUAGGGGUCGUCAUCAGUCCGCGCACCCUGCCUGUACUUCCUGGGGCCCCCUGGUGGAUGAUCAAAGGAUAAAGGGAUAGUUGGAGGCAGGAAAGAGAGAGUUGGGGAUGAUAGUGCAGUGGACUGUGUGGAUCUUUCCCCAUAGGCUUCUAAGAAGUCUUUUGUGAAUAUCUCUCUCGUCCCCCACUGGGUGAAUGAUUUACUAUGACUAAAGGGGCCACACACACAACAGCUCUCACCCUGGAAUGGACUUUGAGAGGGAAGCAAAAGGAAGCAUUGCCUUCUUUCCUGGACUUCCCUUUGGAGCACCCCACAACUCUCAGGGGAUUUAGAAGGUAACACAUUUAGAGCUUUCCCAAAAGAAUGUGCAGCUGUGGCUUGAGCAAAAGGUGUUUACUCCCACGGAGGUGGGAUUUUUAUUGCUAGUUUCAACAUCAAGUAGGUGUGAAAGUUAUAUACAAAUCCUGACAAUCAAUACCACCUGAGAAAGGCGAGAAAGAGGGCUGCAUGGGCCAAUGCUUCACAAACUUAAGGUGCACAGCUUGGAAGCAUUGAAUUGUGGGGGGUGGGGAUCUUGUAAAGUGAAGAUUCUGAAUGAGUAGGUGUGGGGUAUGGCCCACAGUCUGUGUUUCCAACAUGCUUCUGCCACAGGAAGACUGCUCUGGACUAAGAAAUAGUCCUGUGCAUUUCUUAGCACCAACGCUCACCUCCCCCCACCAAAAACAUGAAAUAAAACAAAACAGGGACAUUGCAUUUCCUGGAAGUGUCUUACAUGACACCAAUUAAAACUAUCUUUUUUUCUUGCUCAUAAAUAUAUUCUUUUUCCUUUUUUUUGAGACGGAGUCUCUCUUUUUUGCCCAGGCUGGAGUGCAGUGGUGUGAUCUCAGCUCACUGCAACCUCCGCCUUCCAGGUUCAAGCAAUUCUCCUGCCUCAGCCUCCUGAGUAGCUGGGAUUACAGGAGUGUGCCACCACACUCGGCUAAUUUUUUGUAUUUUUAGUAGAGAUGGGGUUUCACUAUGUUGGCCAGACUGGUCUUGAACUCUUGACCUCAAGUGAUCCACCUGCCUCGGCCUCCCAAAGUGCUAAGAUUAUAGGCGUGAGCCACUGUGUCUAGCCUAGAAAUGUAUUCUUUUUUUUUUUUUUGAGAUGGAGUUUCGCUCUGUCGCCCUGGCUGGAGUGCAGUGGUGCCAUCUCGGCUCACUGCAACCUCUGCCUCCUGGGUUCAAGUGAUUCUCCUGCCUCAGCCUCCCGAGUAGCUGGGACUACAGGCGUGCACCACUACACCCAGCUAAUUUUUGUAUUUUUAGUAGAGAUGGGGUUUCUCCCAGCUAAUUUUUGUAUUUUUAGUAAAGAUGGAGUUUCACCAUGUUGGUUGGCCAGGAUGGUCUCGAUCUCUUGACCUCGUGAUCCACCCGCCUCAGCCUCCCAAAGUGCUGGGAUUACAGACAUGAGCCACCGCGCCCAGCCAAAACUUAUUCUAAAAGGUUUGACUGAUGUACAUAAAAAUCACUGGAAAACAUAGUUAUAGGUAAAUUUUAUUAUUUCUUUGUGUUUUUCUACAUUUCCCAAACUUUCUACAAAUGAACCUAUAUUGUUUUUAUUUUUCUCGAAGGCUAAGUUUGAAACAUCUUGUGUUGUUUCAAGACCUUUCUUUUCCCCCGGUGCUAGCUAGACCAGAAUGGAUUGUUUAACAUCUCAGGGCAGAUGUCUGAACCUUUGCAGGUGUUGGGAGACUCAGAAUCUUCUGGUGUUGAGGAGACCAAGCUUGGUCAGGUCGGGACCAUGUUGAAUCACUGUUUAACACUGAAGGAAGGCCAGGGAAGGCCUGUGAGGGACACGCAGUCUCUGCCUCCUGAGGUCAUGCUGAUCGCUUGCUGGCCCAAGUCUAAUUUAUUUUAGUUUCUAUGUCUGUGAACAAGGCCAAUGUGCAUGAAUGAUGGUCUGGCAUCUCGAUCCAUGUUUACAAAUCAAUGAGCAGACCACCUAAAUCAGUGAACUGUGCAUUUUAUAGAUGAGAAAAGGCAAGUUGGGGGAAAGAGACUGGAGAGGGUGGUGGUAAUUAUAGAAAUGAGACUUUCAUAACUCAAGUUUCCAUCCCAUGGCGUUUUCUUUAAAUAAGGGAUUCCCAAUCUUCAGAAGCACUAGUGCAGUAUAACUUUGGAUAAACACAGUUCUGUCUUAUCAGCACAUUGUUUUGUAUUCAAUAGGUACUCAAUGUUUAAUAUGUUAUAAAAUAUAAUUUUUGAAUACAUUUUUUUUCUGUGAUGGUCGGAGCACACAGCACAGAGCAAUUUUAGGAAAUUGCCAUGCUUUCCAAUAGUAGCUAUAAGCUUUGUGUAUCCAGUCACCCAGGACCUAUUUGUUAGAUAGGAUAAAAGAACAUUGAAGUGACAAGAUUUGACAGAAAAUCUAGGCAAUACCAUUCAGGACAUAGGCAUGGGCAAAGACUUCAUGACUAAAACACCAAAAGCAAUUGCAACAAAAGCAAAAAUUGACAAAUGGGAUCUAAUUAAACUAAAGAGCUUCUGCUCAGCAAAAGAAACUAUCAGAGUAAACAGGGAACCUACAAAAUAGGAGAAAAUAUUUGCAAUCUGACCAAGGUCUAGUACCCAGAAUCUACAAGGAACUUAAACAAAUUUACAGGAAAAAAACAAGCAAGCCCAUCAAAAAGUGGGCGAAGGAUAUGAACAGAUACUUUUCAAAGGAAGAAAUUUAUGCAGCCAACAAAUAUAUAAAGAAAAACUCAUCAUCACUGGUCAUUAGAGAAAUGCAAAUCAAAACAACAAUGAGAUAUCAUCUCGUGCCAGAUAGAAUGGCGAUCAUUAAAAAGUCUGGAAACAAUAGAUGCUGGUGAGGCUGUGGAGAAAUAGGAACACUUUUACACUGUUGGUGGGAGUGUAAAUUAGUUCACCCAUUGUGGAAGACAGCGUGGCAAUUCCUCAAGGAUCUAGGACCAGAAAUACCAUUUGACCCAGCAAUCUCAUUACUGGGUAUAUACCCAAAGGAUUAAAAAUCAUUCUACUAUAAAGACACAUGCACACGUAAUGUUUAUUGCAGCACUAUUUACAAUAGCAAAGACUUGGAACCAACCCAAAUGCCCAUCAAUGAUAGACUGGAUAAAGAAAAUGUGGCACAUACAUACCAUGGAAUACUAUGCAGCCGUAAGAAAGAAUGAGUUCAUGUCCUUUGCAGGGACAUGGAUGAAGCUGGAAACCGUCAUCCUCAGCAAACUAACACAGGAACGGAAAACCAAACACCACGUGUUCUCACUCAUAAGUGAGAGUUGAACAAUGAGAACACAUGGACACAGGGAGGGGAACAUCACACACCGGGGUCUGUUGGGGAGCGGUGGACAAGGGGAGAGAGAGCAUUAGGACAAAUACCUAAUGCAUGCUGGGCUUAAAACCUGGAUUAUGGGUUGAUAGGUGCAGCAAACCACCACGGCACAUGUAUACCUAGGUGACAAAGCUGCACGUUCAGCACAUGUAUCCCAGAACUUAAAGUAAAAUUAAAAAAAAAAAAAAAAGAACAUUGAAGUGACAAGAUUUGGGAGGACUGAAACAAAACAGACUACAAGGAACAGGAGAAAAGGGACAAUUGUAAGAGUGGUAAUAUUCUUUUAUAUUUAUGCACGUAAGAUGGCUGUACUGGUUUCAAGCAUCUGACUUUUAAUAUUUGAAGAAAUAAAAUUCUUGCUUAGGUCCUUCCACCCGCUGUUCAAGAUUGAAGAUUGACCUUCUGUUACCAUCUUAGCUGAUCUGUCUGCUGCUGCCUUUUUGCUUGUCCUACUCAGUUUUAAGUAAUUUUCAUCCUUCAUGCUCUGGGCUGCAAAAAUAAAUAUAAGCAACAUUUGCUGUCUUCA
This 7659-nucleotide long non-coding RNA is filed under the name Homo sapiens (human). RNAcentral's name for it is "PREDICTED lncRNA (TCONS_00225828)". Lineage: Eukaryota; Metazoa; Chordata; Mammalia; Primates; Hominidae. The record is from RNAcentral.